This 27-nucleotide non-coding RNA is filed under the name Homo sapiens (human). The record is from RNAcentral. Lineage: Eukaryota; Metazoa; Chordata; Mammalia; Primates; Hominidae.
UGCAACAUUAAAACUGCCAGGGUGGAG